This 500-nucleotide ribosomal RNA is filed under the name uncultured bacterium. Its description in RNAcentral is "partial 16S ribosomal RNA". It matches the Rfam family "Bacterial small subunit ribosomal RNA", at positions 30 to 523 of the family's 1533-position model. The record is from RNAcentral.
AUUGAACGCUGGCGGAAUGCUUUACACAUGCAAGUCGAACGGCAGCACGGACUUCGGUCUGGUGGCGAGUGGCGAACGGGUGAGUAAUGUAUCGGAACGUGCCCAGUCGUGGGGGAUAACGUAGUGAAAAUUACGCUAAUACCGCAUACGAUCUAUGGAUGAAAGCGGGGGAUCGCAAGACCUCGCGCGAUUGGAGCGGCCGAUCGCAGAUUAGGUAGUUGGUGGGGUAAAGGCCCACCAAGCCAAAGAUCUGUAGCCGGUCUGAGAGGACGACCAGCCACACGGGAACUGAGACACGGUCCAGACUCCUACGGGAGGCAGCAGUGGGGAAUUUUGGACAAUGGGCGAAGGCCUGAUCCAGCCAUUCCGCGUGCAGGAUGAAGGCCCUCGGGUUGUAAACUGCUUUUGUACAGAACGAAAAGGUUUCUACUAAUACUAGGAGCUCAUGACGGUACUGUAAGAAUAAGCACCGGCUAACUACGUGCCAGCUGCCGCCGUAA